AGAAAGAUAAGCUAAUGCAAGCUACUGGGUUCAUACCCCAGGUAUAGGGGCUACACCCCUUCUCUCUA
This 68-nucleotide transfer RNA is filed under the name Scopura longa. RNAcentral describes it as "tRNA-Met". The record is from RNAcentral. Lineage: Eukaryota; Metazoa; Arthropoda; Insecta; Plecoptera; Scopuridae.